This 496-nucleotide ribosomal RNA is filed under the name uncultured bacterium. Its description in RNAcentral is "partial 16S ribosomal RNA". It matches the Rfam family "Bacterial small subunit ribosomal RNA", at positions 28 to 506 of the family's 1533-position model. The record is from RNAcentral.
GACGAACGCUGGCGGCGUGCCUAAUACACGCAAGUUGAGCGCUGAAGGUUGGUACUUGUACCAACUGGAUGAGCAGCGAACGGGUGAGUAACGCGUGGGGAAUCUGCCUUUGAGCGGGGGACAACAUUUGGAAACGAAUGCUAAUACCGCAUAAAAACUUUAAACACAAGUUUUAAGUUUGAAAGAUGCAAUUGCAUCACUCAAAGAUGAUCCCGCGUUGUAUUAGCUAGUUGGUGAGGUAAAGGCUCACCAAGGCGAUGAUACAUAGCCGACCUGAGAGGGUGAUCGGCCACAUUGGGACUGAGACACGGCCCAAACUCCUACGGGAGGCAGCAGUAGGGAAUCUUCGGCAAUGGACGAAAGUCUGACCGAGCAACGCCGCGUGAGUGAAGAAGGUUUUCGGAUCGUAAAACUCUGUUGGUAGAGAAGAACGUUGGUGAGAGUGGAAAGCUCAUCAAGUGACGGUAACUACCCAGAAAGGGACGGCUAACUACGU